UACGUAGGGGGCUAGCGUUGUCCGGAAUCAUUGGGCGUAAAGAGCGCGUAGGCGGCCCGGUAAGUCUGCUGUAAAAGUCAAAGGCUUAACCUUUGAAAGUCAGUGGAUACUGCCGGGCUAGAGUCCGGAAGAGGAGUGUGGAAUUCCUGGUGUAGCGGUGAAAUGCGCAGAUAUCAGGAAGAACACCUAUGGCGAAGGCAGCACUCUGGGGACGGUACUGACGCUGAGACGCGAA
Molecule: ribosomal RNA, 235 nt
Filed under: uncultured bacterium
Lineage: Bacteria
Description: partial 16S ribosomal RNA
Rfam family: Bacterial small subunit ribosomal RNA
Source: RNAcentral